Long non-coding RNA from Rhagoletis pomonella (apple maggot), 310 nucleotides. RefSeq lists it as uncharacterized. The record is from RefSeq and is a predicted model, not a curated record. NCBI's taxonomy places the organism in Eukaryota, Metazoa, Arthropoda, Insecta, Diptera, Tephritidae. The transcript is spliced from 3 exons.
AAUUUUGGAGGAAAAGUAAAAGAAAAAAGAAAAGGUGACUGAACAGACGCAAGCAAGCGAGUGGUGUCGUUGAUUUUUUCGCAAACGUCUCAAUUUCUUUAGAAAAUCUUUUCAUUUAUUUAUAUUUACAAUAUAGAAGUGUAGGAAAAUGCAGUUUUGGAGCACUCGAAAAUGUCGCUGCUUAGCAAUUUUUAUGGUAAUUUACGUCCUUUAUAAUCCUACGGAUUCUGGAGCUGUGGACAUGACCAGUGAAAAUGUUGACAUGACACUAGCGUCUAACGAAUUGGUUUUCCUUAAUUUCUACGCCGAA